CAAUUACUCACCAUUUUUUGGAGGCGACCAACAUCUCAGAACUGAAUGGAAAGAGGCAUCAUCACCUUGGUUGGUUGGUUAAGUUUAUUUAUUUGGUCAGUUGUUGUGAUGAGUGCUCAAGUUCAUGGAGAUCAAUUAAUAGACAUUACUUUUCUAAAGAGUGCUAUUCCAAAAGGAGCAGUUUGCUUAGAUGGCAGUCCACCUGCUUACUCCUAUUUUGAGGGAUAUGGAAAUGGCUCAAACAGUUGGAUUGUUUAUUUGCAGGUA
Salvia splendens (bonfire salvia) is the source of this 267-nucleotide long non-coding RNA. RefSeq lists it as uncharacterized. The transcript is spliced from 3 exons. NCBI's taxonomy places the organism in Eukaryota, Viridiplantae, Streptophyta, Magnoliopsida, Lamiales, Lamiaceae. The record is from RefSeq and is a predicted model, not a curated record.